AGCGAACGCUGGCGGCAGGCCUAACACAUGCAAGUCGAACGAACCUUUCGGGGUUAGUGGCGGACGGGUGAGUAACACGUGGGAACGUGCCUUUAGGUUCGGAAUAACUCAGGGAAACUUGUGCUAAUACCGAAUGUGCCCUUCGGGGGAAAGAUUUAUCGCCUUUAGAGCGGCCCGCGUCUGAUUAGCUAGUUGGUUGAGGUAAUGGCUCACCAAGGCGACGAGCAGUAGCUGGUCUGAGAGGAUGAUCAGCCACAUUGGGACUGAGACACGGCCCAAACUCCUACGGGAGGCAGCAGUGGGGAAUCUUGCGCAAUGGGCGAAAGCCUGACGCAGCCAUGCCGCGUGAAUGAUGAAGGUCUUAGGAUUGUAAAAUUCUUUCACCGGGGACGAUAAUGACGGUACCCGGAGAAGAAGCCCCGGCUAACUUCGUG
Molecule: ribosomal RNA, 434 nt
Filed under: uncultured bacterium
Lineage: Bacteria
Description: partial 16S ribosomal RNA
Rfam family: Bacterial small subunit ribosomal RNA
Source: RNAcentral